RNAcentral lists this ribosomal RNA (465 nucleotides) under uncultured bacterium. RNAcentral's name for it is "bacterial SSU rRNA". It matches the Rfam family "Bacterial small subunit ribosomal RNA", at positions 330 to 792 of the family's 1533-position model. The record is from RNAcentral.
GCCAGACUCCUACGGGAGGCAGCAGUGAGGAAUAUUGGUCAGUGGCCGAGAGGCUGAACCAGCCAAGUCGCGUGAGGGAAGAAUGUCCUAUGGAUUGUAAACCUCUUUUGUCAGGGAGCAAAGUCACCCACGUGUGGGUGUUGGAGAGUACCUGAAGAAAAAGCAUCGGCUAACUCCGUGCCAGCAGCCGCGGUAAUACGUAGGGAGCAAGCGUUAUCCGGAUUUACUGGGUGUAAAGGGCGCGUAGGCGGGAUGGCAAGUCAGAAGUGAAAGCCCGGGGCUCAACCCCGGGACUGCUUUUGAAACUGCCAGGCUGGAGUGUCGGAGGGGUAAGUGGAAUUCCUAGUGUAGCGGUGAAAUGCGUAGAUAUUAGGAGGAACACCAGUGGCGAAGGCGGCUUACUGGACGAUCACUGACGCUGAGGCUCGAAAGCGUGGGGAGCAAACAGGAUUAGAUACCCUCGUA